Molecule: ribosomal RNA, 275 nt
Filed under: uncultured bacterium
Lineage: Bacteria
Description: partial 16S ribosomal RNA
Rfam family: Bacterial small subunit ribosomal RNA
Source: RNAcentral
CAAACUGAAGAUGGCGACCGGCGCACGGGUGAGUAACACGUAUCCAACCUGCCGAUAACUCCGGAAUAGCCUUUCGAAAGAAAGAUUAAUACCGGAUGGCAUACGAAUAUCGCAUGAUAUUUUAUUAAAGAAUUUCGGUUAUCGAUGGGGAUGCGUUCCAUUAGUUUGUUGGCGGGGUAACGGCCCACCAAGACUACGAUGGAUAGGGGUUCUGAGAGGAAGGUCCCCCACAUUGGAACUGAGACACGGUCCAAACUCCUACGGGAGGCAGCAUG